GAAGCUCUUCAGCGUAUUGAGUUAUACGCUGCUAGCAGUUUAUUAUGUGCUGGCGUUUCUGUUGUAUGUGGCCAUAGAGCCUUACGACACCCACUUAGCACUGCACAUGAUUUGUGUUACCUUGGCUCUAGCAUAUCCUAGUUGGGUUCUGAGCCGAUCAAUGACAAAGAAACCAAAAGUAAGAAUUGUGUACGUAACUCGUGCAUAGUUCUUCACAAAUGUCAGUAAAAGUUGCACCACUAGAGUGAAUUUUGCAAAUGGUGCAUAAGUAUUGCCAAAAGACCAGGCAUAAGAAAAUACCACUGCUCCAAGUUGCUGCCACUACUAACAAAUCCCACUUCAGAAUCAAGAUCAAACAUUGCAGAUGUAAAAUAAUGUCAAAGGGGAGAACCUCAGUUAUACAGAUGGACAUACACAUUUUGAAACUGGAAAUCAACUAACAGAGCUGUGCCAACAACCACAAUAUCGCUCCUCAUAUCUUCAUCCUAGGCAUAGAGAAAAACUGUGAAAGUAGAAGAUAAUCACAUCAUUUAAACCUCUCUUAAUUCAGUCAAGAGAUCCAGAGCAAUCAUGAAGGGCCUCUAACAUGUGACAAAAAUUAGAACCUUAGACUCAAGAAAUUUUAAUUUAUAGGUCAGCUUCAUCCAAAGAAUUAGCCAGCCAUUAGGCCAUUAAACAAAAACAUUGACUUGAGGAAAUAUCCAAGGAUUAAGAAUGUAAAUACCAAAGGUAUAACACUUAUGGAAAGAGGGUGGUGGAUGGAUUGAUGACUUCACUAUUUACUUGUGUCUGAGAGUGCAGUAUGCUGUCAGCACUUUCUCUUUUUAUUAGCAUGUUUUCUUUAAUCUGUUUUGCCUCUCUCAUUUUUCUAACUGAUAAAUAGGCAAUCACUUAUUAGUAGCACAUGAUGUAAGAUACUACCUGGUGGCCUCAGUGCAAUGUGUGUCAUCCAGAA
Molecule: long non-coding RNA, 955 nt
Organism: Schistocerca americana (American grasshopper)
Lineage: Eukaryota; Metazoa; Arthropoda; Insecta; Orthoptera; Acrididae
Exons: 3
Source: RefSeq, a predicted model, not a curated record